RNAcentral lists this long non-coding RNA (947 nucleotides) under Salmo salar (Atlantic salmon). RNAcentral's name for it is "lncRNA (ENSSSAG00000112542.1)". Lineage: Eukaryota; Metazoa; Chordata; Actinopteri; Salmoniformes; Salmonidae. The record is from RNAcentral.
UAUUAAAAUUACAAAAGGUUGCAGCAUAUGUUGUGUAAAUGGUGAACUCAUACAGCUGUCAACUCUUGUCAUUUUAAUCCGUUUCACAUUUGCUAGCUACCUUUUAGAUCGAAGCCCAAAUAGAAUGAUAGAAGAUAAGAUGAUAGAAGCCCAUCUCCUACUGUAAAUAACCUACACACUGUGUGUGUGUGUGUAGCCAGCCAGCCAGGUAGGAAAAUGGCAGAAAAAUAAAAGACGGACAUCAGAGUAUUUUUCAAUACACCAAAACGCAAAGCAGAGCAGGCAACAGAUGGCACACAGACAGCAGAGUUGGGGACAGAUAUGCAGGGACAGACUGGCAGAGACAGUGAGUCUCAGAUGGUCGCAUGCGGUUGGACACAUGGAGGAGAGAAUCAUUUUCGCAGUAUCCUCAAAACCGUGUCUUUUUGACACAACUGCUGACAGCUACAGGGACAUAAACACAAAAAAUCCUGCUUGGAGACAAGUGUCCACGAUAGUAGGAUUGCCAGGCGUUCAACUGGGCUGAUGGACUCCCGGUAGUUGGUAUCCAUCCGGAUGAUCCUGGCUCCAACCAUCUGAAGCAGGUGAUCGAACUGGCUUCGGUCCAGACGAAAGUAACUUCGGAAUUCCUCUCCAAGCAGUCGAAGCUCUUGAAUGAGACGGUGGAACUCCUCUGCCUGCUUUCGGGACUUUAACCAUCUCUGGACCCAUACAGACCUGCGCUUUCGGCGGGGCUGAUCCCGGCCCAACAGCGCGAUCAAGACCACCUUCCUCAACGUUGGUCUCAUUGUUGAAAGAGCCGACUCUGCUAUCUUGACUAUUAUGCAUUUUGCUCCAAAGCUGCAUUUUGGAGGGAAAUUAUAUUAUAGGCUCUCACAAUUAAUUUGUGGAUGUCAUCGAAUAAAUAAUAUACUUGGCAAAUAAAUGAAUAAAAAAAUGUAAAGAAA